Non-coding RNA from Phthorimaea operculella (potato tuberworm), 76 nucleotides. Lineage: Eukaryota; Metazoa; Arthropoda; Insecta; Lepidoptera; Gelechiidae. The record is from the annotation of a GenBank genome assembly.
ACUGCGGUUGCCCAGUUGGUAGUGGCUUUGACAGUACAGAUGCCGAAGGUAGCAGGUUCAUGUCCUGCCUGCGGUA